UGGGGAAUAUUGGACAAUGGGGGCAACCCUGAUCCAGCCAUGCCGCGUGAGUGAUGAAGGCCUUCGGGUUGUAAAGCUCUUUUGGCGGGGACGAUGAUGACGGUACCCGCAGAAUAAGCCCCGGCUAACUUCGUGCCAGCAGCCGCGGUAAGACGAAGGGGGCAAGCGUUGUUCGGAAUUACUGGGCGUAAAGGGCGCGUAGGCGGCUGGGUAAGCGUGUGGUGAAAGCCCGGGGCUCAACCCCGGGUCGGCCAUGCGAACUGUCCAGCUGGAGCACGGUAGAGGCACACGGAAUUCCGGGUGUAGCGGUGGAAUGCGUAGAGAUCCGGAAGAACACCGGUGGCGAAGGCGGUGUGCUGGGCCGUGGCUGACGCUGAGGCGCGACAGCGUGGGGA
This 395-nucleotide ribosomal RNA is filed under the name uncultured bacterium. RNAcentral describes it as "bacterial SSU rRNA". It matches the Rfam family "Bacterial small subunit ribosomal RNA", at positions 355 to 767 of the family's 1533-position model. The record is from RNAcentral.